GGACCGUAGCUCAGUGGCAAAAAGUCUGCUUGUAUGCAGAAGACUCCAGGUUCAAUCCCUGGCAUCUCCA
This is a non-coding RNA of Podarcis lilfordi (Lilford's wall lizard), 70 nucleotides long. Lineage: Eukaryota; Metazoa; Chordata; Lepidosauria; Squamata; Lacertidae. The record is from the annotation of a GenBank genome assembly.